Molecule: non-coding RNA, 75 nt
Organism: Tritrichomonas musculus
Lineage: Eukaryota; Parabasalia; Tritrichomonadida; Tritrichomonadidae
Source: the annotation of a GenBank genome assembly
GGUUGUUUGGACCGAGCGGUCAAAGGCACUGGAUUCAAAACCCAGGAAUCAUGGGUUCAACUCCCAUAACAACCA